Long non-coding RNA from Triticum dicoccoides, 1503 nucleotides. RefSeq lists it as uncharacterized. The record is from RefSeq and is a predicted model, not a curated record. Lineage: Eukaryota; Viridiplantae; Streptophyta; Magnoliopsida; Poales; Poaceae. The transcript is spliced from 2 exons.
AAUCUACCCCACCAAUGGGGUCUUUGUACUCCUAUGGAGUCAUCCCCUCAAGAGGAGGUCUUCAUCUCCAUGAGAGGAGCAAUCUCCAUGAAGGAGUAAUCCCACAAGGGGAGCUACAUGAGCAAAGCUAUAUGGUUGGAGUUUUAAUCUUAGCUAACCCUAAAAUGGAUGAGAUGGAGGGAUAUAUAUAGGUCCAAGGCAUGAAGGGGCAAGUGAAAGGGUAAAGAUACAUGGGCUUUUCUCAAAUUCUGCACACAGCCACACUACCUGUCCGGUCAUCUGGCCGGAUUGUGCGAUAGUGCAGUUUUUGCACCACUUCUUCGGUUGCUCUCUCUUCUUCCAUCGCUGCUUCCACGCUCCCUCUUGGAUGUUGUUGUUGUCCUCUUGUGCUCUCACCCAAUAAGCGUGAAGCUCUCUCAAACCUAUACAUGUACAGGGUGGGGGGAGGGUCAAGUAGUAUACCAUCCAAGAGCGAACCAAGUAGACACGCAUAGAGGAUAUAACUCACCUUAGUAUAUGUGAUGCGCGUGUCACUUGGUGAUGGAGCCAAGUCCAUGGUGAUGACACUAGGGCGUUCGGCACCACUCUCUCUCUCUCACACAAAGAUAAAGCUUGAAGUAGAGAGAGAUGAACACAAGAGAAGGGCUUCAAGAAAGGGAGGAGCUUGGUCUUUAAAGAUUCAAUGAAGUAGCUUGGAAUCACCCAACAAUUUCCUUUCAACUCUGCCUUGGACGCACAAAAGGCUUGGAUAGGAUUUGGCUUGGAAUGGCUUGUAACUUUUUCUCACAACCAAGGGGGUUUGGGGGAUUAUUUACAGUGCAGGCCUAGAAGUACCGGAGGAAAAAUUUCAGAACUACUGGACUUGUUCAAAAUUCGAAUGGCCAGAAGGGAAAAACAUGUUCUUGGAAGUGCACGAUACCUCGGAGGUACCGACUGUCAACUAAGCUUCUCAAAAGUCCAGUUGCUCAGAAGUACCGAGCAGAGAAAACAAGGAGGCACUGGUGUCACGCUAACCAUGGCCUACUCCAGCCGAGCCGAGCAUAUCUUCAGUGCUUUCCAAGUCUUAGUUUGGUUGAUGAUAUGUUGAGAGAAAGGGAUGACAUCCAUUCUUCAUUCACGACCGAACGAACUAUCACGAGCUCUCUCGGAGCUGGUAGCAGCAGCAGUAGAUAUCCAGUUGAGCAAAACAAAACUGAGAGUUCCGAGAAUGGUAACAUAGAUAGCAGGGACAAAUCGAGUAAAAAGAAGUGGUUUAAUCUAAAUCUUAAUAGAUCUGACAAGAGAGCCUGAGCAAUUUAUUUUCAUCGAUGUCAGCAUCGGCACAUCCACUGUUGUACAUUACAGAAGCUCAAUUGUAUUUGUGCCUUCUGAGCUGUACGCUUGGCGAUUCUUGUUUCUUCUUCUUUUAGCAUAGCAGUUUUGAGUAAAAUCGUGUACUAUUCAUCAACUAUUCUUCUUCCUCCACUUGAGGUACGUUUGCCUGGUGUCACAGUUUCCUUUUUC